RNAcentral lists this ribosomal RNA (366 nucleotides) under Zabius sp. 2 AAOA-2016. RNAcentral describes it as "partial 16S ribosomal RNA". The stretch from base 240 to 366 matches the Rfam family "Archaeal large subunit ribosomal RNA", at positions 2542 to 2669 of the family's 2987-position model. The record is from RNAcentral. Lineage: Eukaryota; Metazoa; Arthropoda; Arachnida; Scorpiones; Buthidae.
GGAAUGAAAGGAUUAACCAAAGAAAUUAUUUCUUUUUCAUAUAUAUCAAAUUUUACCUUUUAGUUAAAAGGCUAAAAUGACUCUUUUAGACAAGAAGACCCUAUAAAGCUUUACAUAUUAAAAUUUGAAAGAUUCUUAUUAUGUUUAACUGGGGCGGUGAAGAGAUAAACACUCUUAAAUUAUUAGAUAUUCUAAUAUUAAUAUCCAAAACUUUUGAAAAUCAAAUAAGUUACUUUAGGGAUAACAGCGUUAUAUAUUUAGAGAGUUCUAAUCGAAAAAUAUGUUUGCGACCUCGAUGUUGAAUUAAAUUUUCUUUAUUAUGCAAAAGUAAUAUAAGAAGGUCUGUUCGACCUUUAAAAAUUUCCA